CGCUGGCGGCGUGCUUAACACAUGCAAGUCGAACGGAAAGGCCCUGCUUUUGUGGGGUGCUCGAGUGGCGAACGGGUGAGUAACACGUGAGUAACCUGCCCUUGACUUUGGGGAUAACUUCAGGAAACUGGGGCUAAUACCGGAUUGGAGCUCCUGCUGCAUGGUGGGGGUUGGAAAGUUUCGGCGGUUGGGGAUGGACUCGCGGCUUAUCAGCUUGUUGGUGGGGUAGUGGCUUACCAAGGCUUUGACGGGUAGCCGGCCCGAGAGGGUGACCGGCCACAUUGGGACUGAGAUACGGCCCAGACUCCUACGGGAGGCAGCAGUGGGGAAUAUUGCACAAUGGGCGGAAGCCUGAUGCAGCAACGCCGCGUGCGGGAUGACGGCCUUCGGGUUGUAAACCGCUUUCGCCUGUGACGAAGCGUGAGUGACGGUAAUGGGUAAAGAAGCACCGGCUAACUACGUG
Molecule: ribosomal RNA, 463 nt
Filed under: uncultured bacterium
Lineage: Bacteria
Description: bacterial SSU rRNA
Rfam family: Bacterial small subunit ribosomal RNA
Source: RNAcentral